GUCAAAUGAAGUAAGGCUGAUGGCGGAUAACUAGGCACUUAGAGUCGAUGAAAGGCGUGCAAACCUGCGAUAUGCUUCGGGGAGCUGGAAAGAAGCUUUGAUCCGGAGAUUCCUGAAUAGGACAACCUCUAGUACUUCAGAUUGAAUUCAUAGAUCUGAAAGAGAUAACCCGGUGAAUUGAAACAUCUUAGUAGCCGGAGGAAAAGAAAGCAAACGCGAUUCCUUUAGUAGCGGCGAGCGAAAGAGGAGAAGCCUAAACCUAACUAAAGUGAGUUAGGGGUUGUGGGAGGACAUAAACUUCUUUUGUAAAAGGAAGAAUUUUAAUAAAUAAAGUAAAGAUAAAUGAAAGGGCUAAAUCCCCUACCAGAGAAGGUGAAAGUCCUGUAGUUGAAAAAAUUAGAAUCUUGUCUAAUCCCGAGUAGCAUGGGACACGUGGAAUCCCGUGUGAAUCUGCGAGGACCACCUCGUAAGGCUAAAUAGUACUAAGUGACCGAUAGCGAAAUAGUACCGUGAGGGAAAGUUGAAAAGAACUCCUGUGGGAGAGUGAAAUAGAACAUGAAACCGUCAGCUGACAAGCAGUAGGAGGAUUUUUGAAUCUGACUGCAUGCCUGUUGAAGAAUGAGCCUGCGACUUAGAGGGAAUGGCUAGGUUAAGUUAAUUCGGAGCCUGAGCGAAAGCAAGUCUUAAUAGGGCGUUUAAGUCAUUUCUUCUGGACCCGAACCCGGGUGAUCUAACCAUGGCCAGGAUGAAGCUUGGGUUAGACCAAGUGGAAGACCGAACCGACCAAUUUUGAAACAUUGGCGGAUGAGCUGUGGUUAGCUGGAGAAAUUCCAAUCGAACUCGGAGCUAGCUGGUUCUCCCCGAAAUGCGUUGAGGCGCAGCGAUCACGAUGAGCUAGCCUAGGGUAGAGCACUGUUUCGAUGCGGGCUGCGAAAGCGGUACCAAAUCCUGGCAAACUCCGAAUAUAGGCUAUAGCCUUCCGUGAAUCAGUGAGACCGUGGGGGAUAAGCUUCAUGGUCAAGAGGGAAAGAGCCCAGACUACCAGCUAAGGCCCCAAAAUGGACGCUAAGUGGAAAAGGAUGUGAAAGUGCUCAAACAACUAGGAGGUUUGCUUAGAAGCAGCCAACCUUUAAAGAGUGCGUAAUAGCUCACUAGUUUAGCGCUCUUGCGCCGAUAAUGGCCGGGACUAAGCGUCCUGCCGAAGCUGUAGGAUUUUUUAUUAAAUCUUUAAGCUAUAGAGAGAGAGUUUAAUUUAUAACUAAACUAGUCUUCUUUAGAAAAAAUUAAAGGCUGAAAAGAAUCGGUAGGGGAGCGUUCUGCUUUGGUUGAAGCUUUGAGGUAACUUUGGGUGGACAUGGCAGAAGUGCGAAUGUAGGCUUGAGUAACGAAAACAUUGGUGAGAAUCCAAUGCCCCGAAAACCUAAGGUUUCCUCUACAAGGCUCGUCCAUGGAGGGUUAGUCAGGACCUAAGGCUAGGCUGAAAAGCGUCGUCGAUGGCAAAGAGGUUAAUAUUCCUCUACUUAUUUUGAUGGGACACGAGGGACGAAGGAGGCGUAGUUGGAACUAUGAAUGGAAUCUAGUGCAAGCUUUCAAGGUGACGAUAGGUAGAAGAAAAACUAUCCUUGAGCUGAGAAGUUAUGCCGUCUUCUAAAUUGAUUUAGAAGACGCCAAUCAAGUCAAACUUCCUAGAAAAGCUCGAAAACCUGUUAAAAACAUCAAAAUAACCUGUACCUUAAACCGACACAGGUAGGUAGGUAGAGAAUACUAAGGGGCGCGAGAGAACUCGCUCUAAGGAACUCGGCAAAUUGGCCUCGUAACUUCGGGAGAAGAGGCGCCUUAGAGUGAUCUAAGGUUGCAGUGACCAGGCUCAGGCGACUGUUUAACAAAAACACAGGUCUCCGCUAAGUCGAAAGACAAUAUAUGGGGGCUGACGCCUGCCCAGUGCCGGAAAGUGAAGGAAGUUGGUUAUUUCCUAUGGAAAAAAGCUGAUAACCGAAGCUCCGGUGAACGGCGGCCGUAACUAUGACGGUUAACUCUACCUAAGGUAGAGCGAAAUUCAUUGUCGAGUAAGUUUCGACCUGCACGAAAGGCGUAACGAUCUGAGCACUGUCUCAGAGCGAGACUCGGUGAAAUAGACAUAUUCGUGAAGAUGCGAAUUAGGUUUACAUGGACAGAAAGACCCUAUAGAGCUUGACUGUAACCUGGAACUGGCUUCGGGCUUUUCUUGCGCAGCCUAGGUGGGAGGCGUUGAUACUUUCUUUCUGGAGAAAGUGGAGCCAUCAUUGAGAGACCACUCUGGGAAGGCUAGAAUCCUAAUGGUGAUCCUUGAAUCAGGACACUUGACAAUUUCAGGCGGGCAGUUUAUCUGGGGCGGAUGCCUUAUAAAGGGUAACUAAGGCGUGCAAAGGUUCCCUCAGUCUGGACGGAAAUCAGACGUGGAGUGUAAAGGCAGAAGGGAGCUUGACUGUGAGACAGACAAGUCGAGCAGGGGCGAAAGCCGGCCUUAGUGAUCCGACGAUGCAGAGUGGAAUGGUCGUCGCUCAACGGAUAAAAGUUACCUUAGGGAUAACAGGCUGAUCUUCUCCAAGAGUUCAUAUCGACGAGAAGGUUUGGCACCUCGAUGUCGGCUUGUCACAGCUCGGAGGAGUAGUAUCUUCCAAGAGUUGGGCUGUUCGCCCAUUAAAGUGGCACAUGAGCUGGGUUCAGAACGUCGUGAGACAGUUCGGUCCAUAUCCUGUAAACACGUUAGAAUAUUGAAGACAUUCUGCAAUAGUACGAGAGGACCUUGUAGAACCUGCCUAUAGUCUAUCAGUUAUCUUUCCAAAGGUAAACGCUGAGUAGCCACGCAGGGGUCCCUGGCAACAGGGAGUGGAUAACCGCUGAAAGCAUCUAAGUGGGAAGUCAAGUCUAAGAUGAAUAUUCUCUAUGAGACCGCGGGAAGACAACCCGAUUGAUAGGAAUCAAGUGUAAGGCUAGUAAUAGUUUUAGCUGAGAUUUACUAAAGGUCCAGUGAUUUUGAC
This 3020-nucleotide ribosomal RNA is filed under the name Parallela transversalis. RNAcentral describes it as "large subunit ribosomal RNA". It matches the Rfam family "Bacterial large subunit ribosomal RNA". Lineage: Eukaryota; Viridiplantae; Chlorophyta; Chlorophyceae; Sphaeropleales; Sphaeropleaceae. The record is from RNAcentral.